GAAACUAUUCCUGUGAGAAAGUGUAACUGUGCCCUCCGGACAACACUGCUUCACCCAUGAGAUGCAGACAACCUGUGUAACCUCUUCAAAUCCUGUCCUAUUCCUUUCCACAGCAACCGCAUUGGUUCCACGUAUCUCAGGAACAGGAUAUGCCUCUUAAUGCAGCAGAGAGAUGUUUUCCAAAGCCUGGAGACUGAAUGAGCUCCGCUUUGAAAGAGCUGUGUGGUAACUUGUAACCACUAAUAAGAACACUAACCACUGAUAAGAACAUUGUCCUUGUCGAGAAAGCAGAGAGAAAGAGUUAGACACUGGCCAGACAUGCUUGCAGAGAAUCAGAAUGCAACUACAGGCAGCUGCAGCCUAAAAUCCUGGUCAGAAGAUAAUGGGGAUGCAGGCCCCUGAUCAGAGGGGAGCUGAAAGCUAAAGGCCUGAGACCUGAGAGGGCAUUCCUUCAGAAGACCACAGACAGAAAUUAAAGAAGGAUCACAUAUCAGCUUGUACAACUCAGUGCAAAUUGGACUUGGAUCCAUUGAAACACAUAAAUGGGUACUGAACUUUGGAGCAUCUGAAUAGUUUCAUUGGCUUCAGUGGGACUACUCACACACUUGGAGUCAAGCAUAUGCUUAAGUCAAUUCCUGUAGAAGAUCUGCAGAAAGCUCCAAGAGCAGCAAAAUCAGCACUGAAUGCGAGUCCCAGCUGCAGAGAUGCUGCAUAGGACAACUUAGUCCCUGUCCUAUGUGCCAUAGAACAAUGAUAUGUGGCAACUCUGCAUAUCAUACCACUCAAGGGAUUUUGAAAGCAGGGGCAUCAGCAGCAAUUCCAUGAUUGCCAACUUCAAUUGGCGGAGAGUUCAAAGGCUGUGGCAGUUGCUGAAGUAGCAAUGUGAGCACCUCCACUGGUGCUAUACAGGUUAGGAAGGAACAAGAUUCUGUCCUCCCAGAUCCUCACAGAAAACGCCCAAAACAAAGCUUAUUUACUUACACUUUCCACAGGAAUGAACAUUUGGCCUACUGUCUAUCAGGAAGCCCAGUACUCUGCGCUCAGCUCUGCUAGCUCUCACAGCAUUUCUUUCUGAAACACUGAAAGAGUAGUGAGGCCUCUCAUGUUGCAAACCUGUUUUUUAUUGUUACACAAGUAUUUUGUGAAAAAUUAGAAAAUAAAUUGUUUUGGGAGAUAUAUCUCAAUGAUGUGAAUGCAGGCAGGCUGAUCCUUUUUUGUGGGUCAUUUUCAAUUUGGCCGCUACAGAGAGAGAAAUCAUAUAUAGGAGUCAGUACAAAAUAAUCCUGGGUUCUAUUUUUGGCAAGAACUAAACAACAGUGACUACAGUUAACCACGAUUAUCCAAAUUUCAAAUCUGACUUCGGGUUCCUUGCUCCUGUGUCUAUCACUCACACUGACACAAUUCUGAUUAUCCACAAUUAUUCAAUAUCCUUCAUUAGAUUUGAAUAGUUUAAGCUGAAUUGUUGUAUGCCUCUUCCCACACUUACCACAGCUCACCUACACAUCAUUUUGUGAAACUUCUAAAGAAAGGCCAGCUUUACAAUCUGAGAAACACUGUUUCAGGAAUAUUAAAAAGAGAAGUGGUGAGUGCAAGAAGAGAAUACUGAAACAAGGAGUGCCCCAAUGAAAAGGGUUGAGGCUCUUUUAGAACAUAAGCGUUGAGUGACAGGAUGUUCUGCUCCGCUGGAAUGUUAGUGCAUUUGACUAUCAGUGUGUUUUUGCACAGAAAAAAAAAAAUUAAAACAAGAAAACAUUUAAUCAAGACACCUGCAUAUCUGCAAAAAGUGAGACAGUAGAGAACUGCAGAUUCAGGACCUGAGUAAAGCAGAGGGUAAGUUUAACUAUGGUUCAGGUUCUGCACCUCACCACAAGAUAUUAAAGAAAGUUAAUAAAAAAAGGUGAAAAAAAGUUUGUAAAUUCUUUCAAGUUAAACAGGUCUGUGCAUAUCACCUGUGUCUGCAUUUCCAGAAAAUGGAAGACAAAAGAGGGACAUGAACUGAGUUGUUGAUAAUCAGGGGGGGUAACUGUGUUUUUGUGGAUACAGACUAACAACAAGGAGUCUGGUGGCACCUUAAAGACUAACAGAUUUAUUUGAGUAUAAGCUUUCAUGGGUAAAAAACCUCACUUCUUCAGAUGCAACAGAAGAAGUGACGUUUUUUAACCCACGAAAGCUUAUGCCCAAAUGAAUCUGUUAGUCUUUAAGGUGCCACCAGACUCCUUGUUAUUUGAGUUGUUAACGCCACAGUUGACAAAUAUUAAACUGAUAAGAACAGAUACAACUUUUAGAUAAUGUUUUCACCUCUUAGCUCAGAGAGAAAUGUUAUUAACAAGACUUGGGCAAACAAGGAAGGGAAAAUGAAGAAGAAAAACUGAGAGGAAGCAAACCUGUCUGAAUUCUACUAAAAACUGAUGCAAUGCACAGAGUAUGAAGCUUCUGGUACAUACAAUUUGAAGGAUCCAUUUUCAAAUGCAAUUUCUCUGUACAAUGUCAUAUGUGCCUUUUCUUUCUCCCUAAACUCCAGUCCAACUCUGACAUUUUACUCUUCCGCCCAUAUUAGAUAACAUGAAUACGGGCUAUUUAAAAUAACAAAACUAAAUUUUUUUGUAUGAUUGUUCUAUUCCUUAAAUCUUUUUCAGCAGCUGAGUGUAUCAGGAAGUCUUUCUGCACAAGAUGUAAGGGUUCAAUAAAGUAUAUUAGGGCUGUUAAGUGAUUAAAAAUUAAUUGUGAUUAAUUGCACUAUUAAACAAUAAUAGAAUACCAUUUAUUUAAAUAUUUGUGAUGUUUUCUACAUUUUCAAAUAUAUUGAUUUCAAUUACAAUACAGACUACAAAGUGUACAGUGUUCACUAUAUUUAUUUUUCAUUACAAAUAUUUGUGCUGUAAAAAACAAAAUAAUAUUUUCAAUUCACCUAAUAUAAGUACUGUAGUGCAAUUUCUUUAUCAUCAAAGUUGAACAUACAAAUGUCGAACUAUGUACAAAAAAACAACUGCAUUCAAAAAUAAAACAAUGUACAACUUUAGAGCCUACAAGUCCACUUGGUCCUACUUCAGCCAAAUCCUCAGACAAACAAGUUCGGUUACAUUUGCAGGAGACAAUGCUGCCCACUUCUUGUUUACAAUGUCACCUGAAAGUGAGAACAGGCGUUCGCAUGGCACUGUUGUAGCCAGUGUUGCAAGAUAUUUACGUGCCAGAUGUGUUAAAGAUUCAUAUGUCCCUUCACGCUUCAACCACCAUUCCAGAGGAUAUGCAUCCAUGCUGAUGACAGGUUCUGCUCGAUAACGAUCCAAAACGGAGCAGACUGAUGCAUGUCCAUUUUCAUCAUCUGAGUCAUAUGACACCAGCAGAAAGUUGAUUUUCUUUUUUGGUGGUUCAGGUUCUGUAGUUUCUGCAUCUGGGUGUUGCUCUUUUAAGACUUCUGAAACCAUGCUGCACACCUCAUCACUCUCAGAUUUUGGACAGCACUUCAGAGUCUUAAACCUUGGGUCAAGUGCUGCAGCUAUUUUUAGAAAUCUCACAUUGGUACCUUCUUUGCAUUUUGUCAGAUCUGCAGUGACAGUGUUCAUAAAUCAAACAACACGUGCUGGGUCAUCAUCCGAGACUGCUAUAACACAAAAUAUAUGGCAGAAUGCGAGUAAAACAGAGCAGGGGACAUACAAUUCUCCCUGAAGGAGUUCAGUCACAAAUGUAAUUAACACACUAUUUUUUUAAUGAUCAUCAUCAGCAUGGAAGCAUGUCCUCUGGAAUGGUGGCUGAAGCAUGAAGGGAUACACA
Molecule: long non-coding RNA, 3771 nt
Organism: Gopherus flavomarginatus (Mexican gopher tortoise)
Lineage: Eukaryota; Metazoa; Chordata; Testudines; Testudinidae
Exons: 5
Source: RefSeq, a predicted model, not a curated record